UUAAAUGAAGUGUCAGCUCGCUUUUAUAUUCAGAAUUUAAUGACAAAUUAAAUGGAUUUCAAUUUAAUGACGUUUAUUUAUUCGAGUUCAUGAGUUGAGUUUGGCAGUGUAUGUGAUGGACUGCCACUGCAUGGAAUAUUAAAAAGGUUGUUUCACAUUAAAAAUGAACGAUAUAAGGAUGCGUUAUAUGGAAAAUACUAGUAGUUGGUUGGAAUGGUUAAAAAAAGUAAGUUGAAGCUUCUAUAAGAAACUGUUAUUAUUGCACAACCAAAAUUUUGACCAUUGUUACACAAAAAGUACUUCCUAUGCUCUAUAGCACUAUACUAUAAAUGAUAAUGAUUCUAGUAUAGUUAAAGUUUA
Molecule: long non-coding RNA, 360 nt
Organism: Teleopsis dalmanni
Lineage: Eukaryota; Metazoa; Arthropoda; Insecta; Diptera; Diopsidae
Exons: 3
Source: RefSeq, a predicted model, not a curated record